This 340-nucleotide ribosomal RNA is filed under the name uncultured bacterium. Its description in RNAcentral is "bacterial SSU rRNA". It matches the Rfam family "Bacterial small subunit ribosomal RNA", at positions 1149 to 1488 of the family's 1533-position model. The record is from RNAcentral.
CUGCCGGUGACAAACCGGAGGAAGGUGGGGAUGACGUCAAGUCCUCAUGGCCCUUAUGGGUAGGGCUUCACACGUCAUACAAUGGUACAUACAGAGGGCCGCCAACCCGCGAGGGGGAGCUAAUCCCAGAAAGUGUAUCGUAGUCCGGAUUGCAGUCUGCAACUCGACUGCAUGAAGUUGGAAUCGCUAGUAAUCGCGGAUCAGCAUGUCGCGGUGAAUACGUUCCCGGGUCUUGUACACACCGCCCGUCACACCAUGGGAGCGGGUUUUACCAGAAGUAGGUAGCUUAACCGUAAGGAGGGCGCUUACCACGGUAGGAUUCGUGACUGGGGUGAAGUCG